AGAUGCGAGAGUAGAGCAUAUCAAUAAGCGGAGGAAAAGAAACUAACAAGGAUUCCCUUAGUAACGGCGAGUGAAGCGGGAAGAGCUCAAAUUUGAAAUCUUCAAGGUUCUACCUUGACGAAUUGUAGUUUAAAGAAGUGUUUUCUGUUAGAUGAGUAGCAAAAGUUCCUUGGAAUGGGACAUCAUAGAGGGUGAGAAUCCCGUAUUUGGUUAUUCAUUCUAGCUUUGUGAUACACUUUCAAAGAGUCGGAUUGUUUGGGAAUGCAGUCCAAAAUGGGUGGUAAAUUUCAUCUAAAGCUAAAUAUUGGCGAGAGACCGAUAGCGAACAAGUACCGUGAGGGAAAGAUGAAAAGAACUUUGAAAAGAGAGUUAAACAGUACGUGAAAUUGUCAAAAGGGAAGCGUUUGACACCAGUGUUGUUUUUUCCGAAAAUCAAUUACGAAUGGCUUGAUUUUGUGUUGUAUUGACCUUAUCAGCUUUCUGCACUUUUUUCGAGUCUUUCUUAAUGCACUUUUCGGUUAACAAGUCAACAUCAAUUUCUUUUGUUGUAAAGGAGUAUUCGGAAGGUGGCUUUCUUUUCGGAGAAAGUGUUUAUGGCCCUAUACUUCUACAAUCGGAGAGAUUGAGGUCUGCAGCGCAGAUCCUUCGGGGUUAGAUACACUUGUGCUAAGUUGUAGCUUUUCAUAGACAACUUGUUGACUAUGUUUAGUCAUGCGGCUUACUCGCUUGUGCUAUUUUACCUACGCUUAGGAUGUUGAGCGCAUGUCUCUCUCU
RNAcentral lists this ribosomal RNA (774 nucleotides) under uncultured Neocallimastigales. RNAcentral describes it as "partial large subunit ribosomal RNA". It matches the Rfam family "Eukaryotic large subunit ribosomal RNA", at positions 23 to 642 of the family's 3401-position model. The record is from RNAcentral. Lineage: Eukaryota; Fungi; Neocallimastigomycota; Neocallimastigomycetes; Neocallimastigales.